RNAcentral lists this ribosomal RNA (490 nucleotides) under uncultured bacterium. RNAcentral's name for it is "partial 16S ribosomal RNA". It matches the Rfam family "Bacterial small subunit ribosomal RNA", at positions 30 to 507 of the family's 1533-position model. The record is from RNAcentral.
AUUGAACGCUGGCGGCAGGCCUAACACAUGCAAGUCGAACGGUAACAGGAAGCAGCUUGCUGCUUCGCUGACGAGUGGCGGACGGGUGAGUAAUGUCUGGGAAGCUGCCUGAUGGAGGGGGAUAACUGCUGGAAACGGUAGCUAAUACCGCAUAAUGUCGCAAGACCAAAGAGGGGGACCUUCGGGCCUCUUGCCAUCGGAUGUGCCCAGAUGGGAUUAGCUUGUUUGUGGGGUAACGGCUCACCAAGGCGACGAUCCCUAGCUGGUCUGAGAGGAUGACCAGCCACACUGGGACUGAGACACGGUCCAGACUCCUACGGGAGGCAGCAGUGGGGAAUAUUGCACAAUGGGCGCAAGCCUGAUGCAGCCAUGCCGCGUGUAUGAAGAAGGCCUUCGGGUUGUAAAGUACUUUCAGCGGGGAGGAAGGGAGUAAAGUUAAUACCUUUGCUCAUUGACGUUACCCGCAGAAGAAGCACCGGCUAACUCCGUG